Molecule: non-coding RNA, 783 nt
Organism: Microcebus murinus (gray mouse lemur)
Lineage: Eukaryota; Metazoa; Chordata; Mammalia; Primates; Cheirogaleidae
Source: RefSeq, a predicted model, not a curated record
GAAGCUGACACCGCGACACUUGAAUUAGUUUUAGCAGAAGAGAAAUGGAGAAGCCAUAGAACAUUAAGGAUGCAUUCAAGAAGGCCUGAGACCAUGGAAAGCUUGCCUGCUCUCUACACUAUUUUCCAAGGAGAGGUUGCUAUGGUGACAGACUAUGGAGCAUUUAUCAAAAUCCCUGGCUGUCGGAAGCAAGGUCUGGUCCAUCGAACUCAUAUGUCAUCCUGUCGGGUGGAUAAGCCCUCUGAAAUAGUAGAUGUCGGAGACAAAGUGUGGGUGAAGCUUAUUGGCCGAGAGAUGAAAAAUGAUAGGAUAAAAGUAUCCCUCUCCAUGAAAGUUGUCAACCAAGGGACUGGGAAAGACCUUGAUCCCAACAACGUUACAUUGAGCCAGAAGAGAGAGGGCGUUCCUUCCAGGAUUACACUGGGCAAAAGAUCACCCUCGAGGCUGUCCUGAACACUACCUGCAAGAAGUGUGGUUGUAAAGGCCACUUUGCAAAAGAUUGCUUCAUGCAGCAGGGUGGGGGACCAAAUACCUCUGAUACCUGAUGAGGAAGAGGAGAAGAAGAAGCAAAGACUGCAGAAGUUGAGAAGCUGACCCAUGAAGAAUUCUCUAGAAAAAGAAAGAAGGAAGAAGAAAAAGAAACAUAGAGACAGAAGUCAUCCGACUCUGACAGCUCAGACUCUGAGAGAUACAGCCAAGAGGCAAGGGCACACAUCAAAAGACAGCAAGGCAGCAAGAAAAAAAAAAAAAAAAAAAAAAAAAAAAAAAAAAAAAAAAGAUUAG